Molecule: ribosomal RNA, 791 nt
Filed under: Enterococcus mundtii
Lineage: Bacteria; Bacillati; Bacillota; Bacilli; Lactobacillales; Enterococcaceae
Description: bacterial SSU rRNA
Rfam family: Bacterial small subunit ribosomal RNA
Source: RNAcentral
GACGAACGCUGGCGGCGUGCCUAAUACAUGCAAGUCGAACGCUUCUUUUCCCACCGGAGCUUGCUCCACCGGGAAAAGAGGAGUGGCGAACGGGUGAGUAACACGUGGGUAACCUGCCCAUCAGAAGGGGAUAACACUUGGAAACAGGUGCUAAUACCGUAUAACAAUCGAAACCGCAUGGUUUCGUUUUGAAAGGCGCUUUACGGUGCCGCUGAUGGAUGGACCCGCGGUGCAUUAGCUAGUUGGUGAGGUAACGGCUCACCAAGGCCACGAUGCAUAGCCGACCUGAGAGGGUGAUCGGCCACAUUGGGACUGAGACACGGCCCAAACUCCUACGGGAGGCAGCAGUAGGGAAUCUUCGGCAAUGGACGAAAGUCUGACCGAGCAACGCCGCGUGAGUGAAGAAGGUUUUCGGAUCGUAAAACUCUGUUGUUAGAGAAGAACAAGGGUGAGAGUAACUGUUCACCCCUUGACGGUAUCUAACCAGAAAGCCACGGCUAACUACGUGCCAGCAGCCGCGGUAAUACGUAGGUGGCAAGCGUUGUCCGGAUUUAUUGGGCGUAAAGCGAGCGCAGGCGGUUUCUUAAGUCUGAUGUGAAAGCCCCCGGCUCAACCGGGGAGGGUCAUUGGAAACUGGGAGACUUGAGUGCAGAAGAGGAGAGUGGAAUUCCAUGUGUAGCGGUGAAAUGCGUAGAUAUAUGGAGGAACACCAGUGGCGAAGGCGGCUCUCUGGUCUGUAACUGACGCUGAGGCUCGAAAGCGUGGGGAGCAAACAGGAUUAGAUACCCUGG